Suricata suricatta (meerkat) is the source of this 211-nucleotide long non-coding RNA. RefSeq lists it as uncharacterized. The record is from RefSeq and is a predicted model, not a curated record. Lineage: Eukaryota; Metazoa; Chordata; Mammalia; Carnivora; Herpestidae. The transcript has 3 exons.
UGAAUCUUGGACAAUUUGUUACACAGCAAGAGCUGACUGACUCAGUGACAUUGCUGAAAAGAGUUCCAAGAGCCAAUGCUGUUUCAACAGUUUUCCUUAGGCAAAGGUUGGCUAAGCCAAAGAGAAAAGCAAGACAAAGAACAUUACUUCGUGAAUUCUUCCCCAAAAGGACAGCAUUGUCAUGAUCUCAUGGUUCGUGAGAACCCCCCUC